GUUUUUUUUUUUUUUUUUUUUUUUGCACAUUUUAUCUCUUUCAAAUAUGUUCCAUCCACUUUACUGGGUCCAGCUAAACAAUUCAUAUCAACUAAAUCUAUGCCAAGCAGCACAUAGUAACUCUGACUACAAGUUUUAUUUACUUUUUCCUCAAGGAGACUUAGUUCCAAGAUAAAAAAAUUCCUCCAAUCCAUCGUUGUAGCUAAAAAGUUCUGUUACUAGACAUGUGGUUUCUGAAACAUCGUGACUGCCCCCAUCAACAGAAUCCGAUCGAUCAACAGCUCUUGCAGCCUGCUGAAAUAGAUGAUGGUGCAGAAUAUUGCAUAAUUAAGGAACUUAGAUGAUAAAUAAGUGCUUCAAACACACAAUUACGUAUCUCAAAGUUUGACAAUGAAGCGCAACUUUGGUGGUAAUUGGUAAGACAUUUCAAUUGUAACCUAAUAAAAUACCCAUGGUUAGAAACUUAGGUUGAGACCAAUUUUGGCCCACUUGAUUUUGUAAGGGAAAUAAAAUUAGUUUCGCUAGAAAUGAGAGACGGAAAAAUUCAUUAAGUGAAACGUGAAAGACAUUUUGAACGAUUUUUCCUUUUUUCAUUGACAAAUUAUGGACCCUGUAAAUUCGACAGAAUAUGUAAACUUUAGGUCUUCCUCAACAUGAUUUUCGUACAUGAAACGGUUAAUCUUUGGGUAAAAGAGAGAGUUUGUUCAAUGGCAAAGGAGGAAUACGAAUUAUUUGCAGUCUGAACUUAUUACAUCUGGAACUCUUGGAAAGCCAAACUGUUUGAUUGUAAGGAUAAUGAUCCCAUGUCCUUGGUUAGUUUUGCUUCUGGAAUGUUAUCUUCUUUCAAGGAGGCCAAUUCCCAAUCACACACACAUACAUAUACAAUCUUGAAAAUUAUAUUGAGUAAAACUAAGAAUGCAGACCUUGAAAACUAUAUCGAGUAAAAAAAAAUGCAGACUUCAUCAUUAGGCAAAGAACGUGACCAAAAAAACAGAAAUUUCAGCAUAUUCCUGCAAGAAAACCAAUGCACACAAGCAACUGUAACAUAUCUUUAGUUGAGAAAAGUUACUAGUUGCAAUUUGAAUUGCAUACCAAACAAUGACAGAAAUAAGUAUCUUAUUCCCUAAAAAUUACUUCUAUCACCAGCCAAAAUGGUUCCCGAUUUUCUAUACUCCUCCUUCAAGCUAAAUAACCAGUCCACCUAAAAUCAUUAGAGACAGAGCCAAGCCCCAGUAGUUUGGCCAAGCCCAAGGGUGAAGGCAGAGGAGAGGAAAGAAUAGAUUCAAUAUACUGAUUAGGAAUUAAUAAUAUUUAUAAAUUACAAGAUGGUCCCUUUUUUAAAAUAUUUAUAUAAUAUACCCUACGGAUCCAAUACUCGCAGGUUUUUGUUUCCUGAUUCAUAUCUAUAUCUGAAUUUUGCAGAUACUCGACUCUCAUCUGCUCCGCUAAGAAAAUCGGAUCGGAUAUCCUAUUUUCCAUAGUAAGAUGGAUCGUAUCAGUCAGUUUUUCGGAUCGGAAAUUUUUUUUUCCCUCCCACCCCCAGGUAUAGGUAUGAGUAUUGAAACGUUGGAAUAAAUUCUCAAAAUUUGGUGAUUCUCAAUUCCCAAUCAAUUUGGGGGGUUUUGGUUGAUUACCAAAUUUGAUUCCUAAAUGGAAAAUGAAAAUUCAAAAAAAAAAGCAAUUUCCAUCUUUUCCAAAUCUCUUCCCUCUCGUACAUCUCUCUCCCCUUCCCAAGCAUCUCCACCACCAUGCCUCCCUAACAACCAAACCUUCUUUCUCUACUUUCUUGCUUGCCAUCGGCCUCCGCUCUCCUUCCUCGCUCAUCUCUCUCAUCCUGAAAAAUUUUCCUAUGGUUAAAUCUCUCUAACAGCAAAUUAUUUUAAAAAACUUGGCAAAGUUUUCCAUCUAAACACAACAGCUUACAAGCCUUGCGUGAUGAUGAAGUUGAGGGGUGAUUUCUACAGCAAAAGAGCAUGAACUUUACCUGUACUUGAAUUACAUAGGAAGAUGGCCAUUCUGCAUCUUGGAAGCAUAGAAAGAUGACCAUUCCGCAUCUUGGAUUUCCAUUUUUAGUUUAGAUCUUUGAUUCGAAAAUCUUGGAAAUCCUAAACUCAACAAAGCUUAGCAGCUUCAAAUUAGUAGAACUAGCUGUGAAUUUUCUUCAUUUUGAAGUUGAUUGGUGGUGGCUACCCUGAGAUGUAUGGAAGGUAAGAAAUGAAAAGCUCCUCAAAAACAAAUACAAAAUUUCAUUUUGAUACCCAAACUAAGAAGUUUUUACCAAGCAAUAGAUAUUGUAAUGAUGCCAUAGGCUUAUACCCACACUAAAAUUUUGUAAAUGAUACCAUUUACAAUUCCAAUUCCAGAACCUAACCAAGCGAAUUUAUGAAAAUUUCAUGCUCGACUCCAAAAGCAUAAGUUUGAAAUUUUGCACGUAAAAUCAAUUUACUUGACUUUAAUUCAACUUUAGCUCAAUAAUAAUAAAGGCUCAUGUGAAUUCAAAUUUGAAAAGUAGAUUAGCCAGAUUUGAGCACAAUUUACCCAAUAUGAAAUAUUGUUACAUCUUCACUUCAUGAUGGUUCACUCACUAAUGGAAUUCUAUAACAAUACACACUUUUAAAGAAAACAAUUAUCAUGUUUAAAUUGUAUUUUAAGUUUUGAAAUUUUGUGGUUGACAGCUUUAGCUACCUGAAAUAUAUGGCGCAGAACAUUGCAUGAUUAGCUUGAAGAACUUGGAUGAUUAAGUACUUUAAACAAACAUUUACAUCCCUCAGAGACCCAGUUUGUUCUUGCAGCAAGGAUAAACAGUGUGAGUGAUUGCAGAAAAACUCGGACAAUCAUUCCCCACCAAAUUCCCUGAAUGAAUUGGGUAAAGAGGACAUACUGUUUUUCAGGACAUUCAUCUGAUAAACAAAUGCUGAUUGUUAAACAGGAGAAAUAGAUAACUUACUACAACUCCUGAGCUGGUCUUGAAGCAUAGAACACAUCCAAUUGGAAGACCAAUGAUAUAUAGUAGGUAACCAAGUUAAGAUAGCCAUCAACAGUUUGCCAUCCACUCCCAAUGGCCACCCCUGAAAUUUAUACAAUAUGUUACUGAGUAUGCAUUUGAUGUCUCAACUUGAACAAGCACUAAGCUGCUCAAGGAACCUCACCAGACAGUAUGGGUUGAAUGCCAUUUGAGAAGACAGAGAUGGCAAGCAAUGGUUUCAACUCUGGCACAGCCUUAAUGAGAUGAGCGUCGCCGGUGAAAAGUUUCACUCAGUCCAACCCUAAAUAUCAGCAUUAUUGCUGCCAAAAUUAUAUUUAUUAAAGUGCUGGUUGUGGUUACAACAAUGACUGAGAACUUUGCAACCAUUGGAUGGCCUGAUCCAGGUUCGUUACUGACUCGAACGCUGCAUUAGUGUACCAAAAUUAAUCAAUUUAUUGUCCAUAUGAACAUUUGCUCUUUAAUCCUGAAAAUGUAAAGCAUCCAGCAGAAUGUAAGAAGGUAGUUAUUCAGUGAAUCUCAUACCUUGCUGCAGCUGAUAUCCCAAGCAUAAACAUCAUAUCCCAGUUCCGGUAACUCAUGCUGUCGUUUCACUUAAAAUGUGAGCAUUACAAAACCUGAAGAAGAAAGUAGAGAGUUGUAGUCAAAUUUACCAUAUAGAAAUGGAGUCUAGUGCAAUUGUAGGAUUGGAAUUUGGAAAGGAGACCUCAUGUGGGAACAAGACCUUGGAAGUACCAUAUAUCCAAAGCUGCACCAUCAGCAGAGCCUCGCAAAUCAAUUUUGCUAGGAGUUUUAAAACUCAUUUAUGCAUGUGAAAAAGAAAGAAUGCAAUGAACAUACAUAACAUAACAUCAGAAGCAAUGGUUAACUUGAAGUAAGGCAAAUGCCUUCGAAAGCCACGAGGAACACACCCAACUGCAAUAUAAGCUACCUGGAGAAAUCUUUGCAUCAGGGAAUUUAUGGCAAAUGCAUGAAGUUGGAGAAUCAGCCCUCAAACAAAAAUUUGGCCUUGUUCUGCUAUAUCAUUUGAUUGCCCCUAUUGCUCUGAGGAAUGCACCAGAGUACCAGUGUAGGAAUGUCAGGACAAAAGCUGCAGCUAUGUACAAGACAAUUGCCCUCUGGCGAAUCAUCCCCAAGGCUGAAUAGCGUUUUGCCCCAUAAGCUUGGCCACAAACCAUAUUGUUAAUUCAUAUUGUUAAUUCUGAGCUGUAUUAUCAAUUGUUUUUUCACUUUUUAAGUUUUUUUCCUAUGCUACACAAAUUCAUAUAGAAGUGUGGACAUUAAUCAGCAAGAUUAUUAAUAGCAUAAAACCAAAAAAUGUUGAUGAAGCAUACAUAUACUCAUCUCACAGGUAUAAUCGGAGGUUUCCUACAGCCAGUCCUUUAUAUGAGUAUUAAUAAUCAGAGGAUUGACUGGUUGGUACACGAGUUUAUCUGCAACUAAUUAAGUUUACAUUGUUAGAGAAUGUUAAGGUGGAUACUUGAUCCUAUUCCAAGAGUCGUAGGUAGUUGAGUGUACAAAAAUCAUUCCUGGAUGAAUAGGAGGUCAUUGUCGCCAAGGUACCUUCCAGAUGUAAAAGGAAGAUGUCUCAGGUCUCAAGUCUCAACUACCAGUCGAAGGCUUCAAGCUUCAAAAACUUCAAACACCCAUUCUUAUGGCACUAAAAUUUGACUGCAAACGAAGUGAAAGGCAGGCAAAGGACAGAAGACAGUUGUACGGUCAACACUAAUGAUAGCACUAUCCAUUAAUACCAAAAGCAAUGGCGAAAAUUGCUGUGUACCAGAAAUCAAAUCUACCUUUCCAAGUUUCAACCACAAAUGUUGCCCACGCAAGUUUUAUUCCUUUCUCUUUGCCCUUUAUCUUCUAUUCUUCAAUAUGUAGAAGCAGAAAGAACAUGUACACAUUUCACUACCUUAUGAAGCAAAUCAUCAGAACUCCCAACUUUAUUCGGCUUCAAGGAAUUAGCCUCAUUCAUAUGAACUUGGGUAUUUGACUUGUUAGCAAUAAAUCCAGGAGAAAUAACUAGUGCAUCACUGAAAAAGUUGUCCAACUCCAACAUCCUGGGAACGAGUUCAAAGCAGCAACUAGCGUUUUCAGUGGCAAUUUAUUUUCCUAGUUAACAUUUCAGCACGGAUAAUCACCAUGUUAUUAUGGAAAUCACCAUAAACCAGUAUUCAAGAAGCCUGUUAAUCAUCAACGUUCAAUUGCAAAGGUCAACCGUAAAUUGGAAAAGAUUAAAAGAAAAAAAAAGACUUCAGAAUAAGAACAAUGAAAACUACACGUACAAGAAACUCAAGGUUCUGAAGAAAGCUAAUAAACGUAAGCGGAUGAAAGCCUUCAAUUUUCACCCACGCUUUUCCAGAAAUACUUCAGCUUAAAGUGCUCAAGAGAUACUUGGAAGUGUGCUCUGCUCAAGCCUUUUGGCUUCCACACAUUUUCUACACUCUCAGUCCAUGCUUAAUGAGCUAAAACGACAUCAUUCAUGCUUUGCGAUCCUAGAGAAGUUCGCUAAUUUCGUUCUGGAAACUGACCAUGUUGGCAUCAUCACGCGGUUUGAUCGCCCUAUAUAAUCGAAGGCAAAUACAAAUGGAGUAUCAGAUUAUCAUUUACACGGUCAUUCUCUAAGAAUACAAGCUUCCGAUGCACUUCGACUAAUUGGAUGGUCAAGUUACAUUACAUCCCCACUGACCUAAGGAGUACAAAAGAAAUAUACUGAUGCAAAGCGAGGUCAAUGGUACAACUGAUAUUGUACAAAUAACCUGUAGAAAAUUACUGACCCACUAGGAAUUGCAAGUCAUCAGUAGUG
Molecule: long non-coding RNA, 5789 nt
Filed under: Coffea arabica (coffee)
Lineage: Eukaryota; Viridiplantae; Streptophyta; Magnoliopsida; Gentianales; Rubiaceae
Description: long non-coding RNA (CARA_LNC003651)
Source: RNAcentral